GGGGCUGAAGCGAACAUAUAAACUCGCUCUGAAGAUUCAGCGGCGUCUUGUUUCUCCAAAGCACCCUCGGAUUCGCCAAUUUCUUCGCGGCUCUAUUAUGGAACAUGUGGCUGGAAAGGAAUCUUCAAUCGUUCAAGAAUAAAGCUAAGUCUUUUGAUUCUUUUUGUAAUAGUGUAGAUAUCUUGGCUUCUUGGUAGUGUCAUAGGAAUUGAAAAUUCUUUUGGGGUUUCACAGGAUCUUUGAUUUCAUUAACAUUUUACAUUUUACUUAUAUGUUGUUGUAGUUAUGUCUCUGAUAUUGCAUGAGUUCUUCGUAGUAUGAUUUAUUUUGCGAGUUAUAUUGUAACAUAGAAGUAAGGACAAGUAUGAUGUAUACAAUGUUUUCAAAGGUUUCAGGGGUUGUGCCCUGAGGCUUGGAAUCUUUACACCUCUUGUAGUGACUAGAAGGAUAAUAUCAACUUAUUGUCUAUUCUUCAAAUUAUAGUACUAUAACAUGACUUAGGGUAAUUUAAGCCUUUACUACUUUUAGCACCAUGGCUUAAAAACUAAAAUUUAAGAAUCUUUACUUAAGCAUGUGGUAAUUGAAGGAUGUGACCAUUGUCUUUUAUUUUCAAUCUCAUUAAGGCAGGUGUCUUGUCUCUUUGAGAGAAAAAGCCUCAAGGCCACCUAUUACUUAUUAAACAUUGAUUAUUUAUGGUAGGCUGGUAGCAUACAGUGAAGUUUAAUUGGCAGGGCUAUCUAGCUGUUAGUUCCUCUGUUUUUUGUUCCUCUCUUUUUCAUUUUAUUGUGAUUAAGGAGACUGAAAGCUUCAAUAUUUUGCCCUCUUUCUGUUCCCUUUGAAAUUAUCCUGUUUUCAGAUGAAAUUUACACGUCACUUGGGUGUUGGUACUUAUUUGAUAUUCUUCACUUCAUGAUGAUUAAGUUUUAUGGUAGAACCUUGUCUAUGUAAAGUUAUAAAAGUAGUCAGUUCGUUCAAUCAGCUUCCAAGGGCAUAAUAUGGCUUCUUAUUCUACCCCACCACGUCUUGUCUAUGUAAACUAAAGAAAUUUAAGUUGUUUUUUGGACCCAUAUUGCUUCUUAUUCUACCCACCACUUCUUCAUCUGGUUCUUGUCACAAAUUAUACCCUAAAUUCAUUGAGAAUGUCCCAAACCUCGAACUAUUGGAGCAUUGGCUAUGCCAAUUCUGAUCUAAUGGAUGACGUGGUACUAGCCUUCAUAGACUAACUAUAAUUCCAUAAUAACAGCAGAAGUACUGGUACUAUAACAUUGCCGCUAGUUCAGAAUUGUUAUUUAUCAACUGCUGGGGAACCAUUUUUUUCUUACUGCAGGCGUACACGUUCCAUAUUUGAUGUUGCUGUAAAAGUUCACCAGAAUGUUCAGCAUCAAGACAUAGAAGUUGGUAAGAAUUUUGGUAACCGAA
Molecule: non-coding RNA, 1419 nt
Organism: Momordica charantia (bitter melon)
Lineage: Eukaryota; Viridiplantae; Streptophyta; Magnoliopsida; Cucurbitales; Cucurbitaceae
Source: RefSeq, a predicted model, not a curated record